UGUUAAGUACAGUGCACGGAAAUAAAUCUAUAUUUAACGCAAUUUUGUGGACACGUCAUUGUUGCUACUAUCCCACUCCUUUGUUUCCAUCGUAAUAGUAAUUGUUAUAAUAAAAAUUAUUAUAAUAAUAAUUGUAAUAAUAAUAAACAUUAAAUAUUAGCAUCAUCAUCAUCUCAAUGCUGAACGAUUUAGAAAAUUAGAAAAUCCUUUUCUUUAGUUUUCAAACGAUUGUUUACUGUGUUUGCUGAAGAUUUUAACAAAAAAAAAAGGCAACUGAAGAGGGUCGCUGGUCGCGGAGGGAGGGGGGGGGGGGUUUCCUGGCGCCCCUUUAAAACCCCCCAAACCGGCCCCCCCUCGCUUUUCGUUGGUGUGACAUUUCUUGGGCUCUGUUGUUGGUUUUGUAAGUGUCAUUAACAUAGCCGAGCGACCGCAAAAAAGCGCAAAAUGCAUCUCUGGAAAUAAGAAAAAGUGGAAAAAUAGUAGAAUAAAUAGAAAAACAGCAAGCAUAAAAAACAAGUUACAUACACAAACACACACACACAGAUAGAAGGACAUAUGCAAAAGGCUCUUCAGUGUCUUCUGUUAUUUUUGCAUGUGUGUGUGUGUGCUUUUUGUGCCAGUGUGUUUGUGAAAGGCCAAAACUAACAACAACAACAACCAGCUGAAACAAAUGCAGAGCAAAAGGAAAUAAUAAAUAAAACUGUCACAUAAAAUAAGGCAAAAGAUAGGAGGAUGCUGGUUUCUUUCCUUAUUUUUUUUAUUUUUUUUUUUUAGUGGUCUUUCUAAGGCAUUUAGCUAUGCAAAAAAGUGCUCAUCUCAAAGUCUUUUGGCCCACAAGUCCUGCGGAUAUUACCAGCAAACUGUUACUUAAAUAGGCCAAACAAAUGUACAUAUAUACUUAUGAAUAUUUAUACAUAUAUGUAUGUUUAUAUAUAUGCGCAAUGUUCACAAAUACAGAUGUACAGAUGGCAGAAGUGCUGACAUUUAUGACUGAGAUAAAACAAAACCGAAGGACAUUCGCACAGAUGUGAUUUGUUUGGGAAUCUAAUAUGUUUGUGUAAGUUUAAAACUUUAAAAAAAUAGUUUAAAUAUGUGAUCUAUAUUAAUAGGAAUUUCAUAGCAUAAAAGCAUAUAUGAACUAAAAAAUUCCAAAUGCCCAUACUGAUUUAAGCAUUUCGAAACUAUUAAAAAGUGGAAUAAAUUGAAAUUUAUACACUGCAAAGCCUAUAAACUUGUUGUGUAUCUUUGUCGGCGUCUAAACAAAAGUUUCGCACCAAAAACUCGAAAGUUCAAUGCACCCCCCGCCCCCCGCCCCUUUUUUCAAAUAAAACCCCAUCAAAAUCGCGCUCACCUACGCCCAUUAAAAUCGUGGCAGGGUGCCAGGUUGGAAAUACAACAAGAUUCGCUUGUGAAACAGCCAAUGGCCAAUCACACAAAUAUUUACAUUAAGUGUGCAAAUUUAUUUGGGGCCUUUGCCAUUAAAAUAUUGAUUUCUGAUCUAUGGAAAGUUGCUCCAGUCUUGGCGUUGAUUGUCGAUCGUUAAGGGCAAUUUUCGUAUUGUGGCAUCGUAAAACAAAACGGCGAACGAUCCACAAAACUGUCAUAAUCUCGUUAUGAUCUCGCCAUCGCAAACAAAACGAAGCUUUUGUCAAUAAAAACUGUGGCAUUAAAUCGAAGUCAAUGAAUAAUUAAGACAGAAUGAGGCCUAUUUAAUGGUUUUCUUUUUUAGUAUUCAAAAUUGCGAUGUUAGCUAUGGAAGUCAUUAGAGAUCUUGAAAUAUAUUGUAUAUAUGUACAUAUGUAUCCUAAACUACUUAAAUAAAGAAAUAUCUAUAUCCCCAAAAAUAAUGACAUUUCGUGAUUACUCGCCAAUACUCGCAUUCUGUGUUCGCCUAACAACGUUAAUUGGGUUUCCAGUUUCGAUGGCGGCCACCUGUCGACCCAUAAAUUUAUCCCUAUUUUGAUUUGUUGUUGUUGUUUCAAUUGCUUCUAUUGCGUGGCAUCCGUGACCGAUAAUUGUUCAUGUGUCAAAUUUCUACUAAUCGAUUAAUCGUCAAUUGUGUCUUUGUCCGUAAAUGUCAGUCAGUCCGUAUGACCACUUGUCCGCUUGUGCAUCUGUCCAUCUGUCCGUUUGUCCCUUUGUCCAUCUGUCCAUUUGUGUUUUGCUGUGCGGACAUGGGCAGUCUGUCAAUCGGCCAUUCAUUCAAUCGCUGAGUCGUUGAAGGCCUUUGGCUACCGCGCUGCCAAAAUAUCGCGAAACCCACCCAAUCCCCCACUCUUGCCAAUUUCUGGGGCUUAUAUGUACAUAUAUAUCGUCAUCCCGUCGAUAUUUGGGUUUUUUCUCCUCGCUUGUAAACUCUGUUUUUUGUGUGACGGAAUAUUUUUGUUUAGCUGAGCUUUUGUUGUUGCGCUUUAUGUACAUAUGUUUUUUUUUUUAUAUUAUUUUUAUUCCAUUGGCCCCUAAUAUUGUUUUCGGCUUUGUUUACUUUGGUGGAUUGGCUUGAUUAGGCUGUCAAAACGGUGGACUUUGCGGGAAGCAUUUAAUUCAUUGUUGGCGGCCCAUCGAUGUCAAUUGCAAUUGUUGGCUGGACCUCAUCAAAGCUGCGGUUAAUAGUAAUUUAAUUUAAAUGGUAGAAAAAGGUGAUGAUAGAAUAGAAAAUAUACUGUGCCAUAAUUUAAUAUAUCGAAGGUUAUGAUCGAUUUUGAUCGAUUUCUUUCUAAGAGUCAACGACUUGCGCUCCUACCGACCACACCCCCGCCGCCCCCUGAAAAUGGGCGCUCGGCCACGCCCACCGGCACUUGUUCACACCAUUCGCCAUUCGGCAAUAACAACAGGAACAACAAACAAACAGAUCGCGGAUCCGCAAUGCGGUUGAUAAGCUUUAAAGGGGAUUAAUGACAGCAAAGGGGUAUACAUUAUAUGUAUGUACAUAUAAUACAUAUAUGUACAAAUAUAUAUGUAUAUAUGAAAAGAGCUUAGCUAUUGUAGCUAUUGUUAAAGAGUAUGCAGCACAAUAAAACAGUCUAAAAAGUA
This is a long non-coding RNA of Drosophila sechellia, 3033 nucleotides long. RefSeq lists it as uncharacterized. The transcript has 2 exons. The record is from RefSeq and is a predicted model, not a curated record. Lineage: Eukaryota; Metazoa; Arthropoda; Insecta; Diptera; Drosophilidae.